RNAcentral lists this ribosomal RNA (725 nucleotides) under Borbonomyndus pandanicola. RNAcentral describes it as "eukaryotic LSU rRNA". It matches the Rfam family "Eukaryotic large subunit ribosomal RNA", at positions 1279 to 1921 of the family's 3401-position model. The record is from RNAcentral. Lineage: Eukaryota; Metazoa; Arthropoda; Insecta; Hemiptera; Cixiidae.
UGUGUAACAACUCACCUGCCGAAGCAACUAGCCCUGAAAAUGGAUGGCGCUCUAGCGUCGUGCCUAUACCGUGCCGUCAACGGCAAAGUGGGCGCCGUCGGUAACGACGCGGCCGUUAGGCCUUGACGAGUAGGAAGGUCGCGGCGGUGUGCGCAGAAGGGUCGGGGCGUGAGCCCGCCUGGAGCCGCCGUCGGCGCAGAUCUUGGUGGUAGUAGCAAAUACUCUAGCGAGGGCCUGGAGGACUGACGUGGAGAAGGGUUUCUUGUGAACAGCCGUUGCACAAGAGUCAGUCGACCCUAAGCCCUAGGAGAAAUCCGAUGUCGAUGGGCAGCUAAACGACAAAAAAUCCUACAGCUCCUGUCGGGCAAAAGGGAAUCCGGUUCCUAUUCCGGAACCCGGCUGCGUAACCGCCAUUCAGCGGGCCUCGCCUGCGAGCGCUCGUCGUGGUAACACAAACUGGCCCGGAGACGCUGGCGGGGGGUCUGGAAAGAGUUUUCUUUUCUUUAUAAGCGUUCGAGUACCCUGGAAUCCUAUAGCAGGGAGAUAGGGUUUGGAACGCGAAGAGCACCGCAGUUGCGGCGGUGUCCGGACCUUCCCCCCGGACCUUGAAAAUCCGGGUGAGGGCUACGCGGAAGUCGCGCCGGGUCGUACCCAUAUCCGCAGCAGGUCUCCAAGGUUAAGAGCCUCUAGUCAAUAGACUAAUGUAGGUAAGGGAAGUCGGCAAA